UUCUAUAAAUUCAUCCAUCACA
This 22-nucleotide microRNA is filed under the name Macaca mulatta (Rhesus monkey). RNAcentral describes it as "mml-miR-1262-5p". Lineage: Eukaryota; Metazoa; Chordata; Mammalia; Primates; Cercopithecidae. The record is from miRBase by way of RNAcentral.